GACGAACGCUGGCGGCGUGCCUAACACAUGCAAGUCGAACGGGGUAAAGAGCUCGGUUUUUACUUAGUGGCGAACGGGUGAGUAACGCGUGAGAAACCUGCCUUUCAGUGGGGGACAACAGUUGGAAACGACUGCUAAUACCGCAUAACGUAUUUUAGGGGCAUCCCUGAAUAACCAAAGCUUUAUGUGCUGAAAGAUGGUCUCGCGUCUGAUUAGCUAGAUGGCGGGGUAACGGCCCACCAUGGCGACGAUCAGUAGCCGGUCUGAGAGGAUGAACGGCCACAUUGGGACUGAGAUACGGCCCAGACUCCUACGGGAGGCAGCAGUGGGGAAUAUUGCACAAUGGGGGAAACCCUGAUGCAGCGACGCCGCGUGAGUGAAGAAGUAUUUCGGUAUGUAAAGCUCUAUCAGCAGGGAAGAAAAUGACGGUACCUGACUAAGAAGCCCCGGCUAACUACGUG
RNAcentral lists this ribosomal RNA (461 nucleotides) under uncultured bacterium. RNAcentral's name for it is "bacterial SSU rRNA". It matches the Rfam family "Bacterial small subunit ribosomal RNA", at positions 28 to 507 of the family's 1533-position model. The record is from RNAcentral.